UAUUUAAGUAGUUUAAAAAAAAUUUUGGUUUGUGGUUCCAAAGAUGUAGAUAUUUACCUUAGAUAA
This 66-nucleotide transfer RNA is filed under the name Dermestes maculatus (common hide beetle). RNAcentral describes it as "tRNA-His". The record is from RNAcentral. Lineage: Eukaryota; Metazoa; Arthropoda; Insecta; Coleoptera; Dermestidae.